AGCAAACUCAUUCAUCUUGUCUAAAAGAAACUUGUGACACUUUUAUAUUGCAAAAACAUCAUACAAGUACCAAAAUAUUCUAAAAAUGUUUCACAAACAUCAUAAAUGUCUAUGAAUGAAUGUCAUCUAAUCCUUCUUGAAUGUCAAGGAAUUCUUCCUGAAUAUAAAGAAGUUCUUCCUAAAUAAUAAUUAUACUACCUAUCUCAUAUAAUUAGUUCUUGAUCUUGGCUCCUCUCUUCGUUUUUGAUCUUAGCUCCUCUUCAAUGUUAAAAUGGAGCUUAGGGGUUUGAUUUCAAAAUCUCUCAUGUCCUACAAUAGAAAAAGAAACACAGAUCGUGUCAAGAAAGUCAUCCUAAAAUAUGCAUAUCCUUUCCUGAAUUUCAACAGUGCGUCCUGGAUUUUCGAGAAUCUUAAUUCAAUCAAAAUUUAUGUGAGAAAUUGCAUGAUAUGAAUGACUCCAUGAGUAAUGAGAAAGCAAAACAAGUAUUCACAAUGAGCCAUCUUUCGAUCAAUGUAAGUUUCUAAUACAUUUACAAAUGUUCAAGUAUGACAUCUUCAAAUGAAUGAAAACAAAUAUGUGAACAUGUGGGAAAAGAAGACAGAAUAUAGCCUACGUAAUUUUGGGUAUAAUGUACUGUGCUGGUACACAUAUGCACAACAAAAAAAACAUGGUAUAAGAAAAAUAAUGACAAAGCAAGUAAAAGUGAAAGAGAUUACGUAAUAUUCAGCUCAUUGUUUUGACUAAUAAAACUCAAAACAAUGAGAAACUAUGGGCUGAAUCAAUUCUCAAAACAAUGAAAAACUAUGGAACUGAAUCAAAAGGCAAAAUAAUGAGCUGGCUAUAUCGAGCAAAACUUAAAACUCAAGGAAAACUCAAAUUAAUUAAUGGAGUUGUAUCAAAACAAUGAAUUGAAUCAAAACAAUGAGCUCUUAUGGAGCUGAAUCAAAUUGGUUUACAAAAUGGUGUUGAAUCAAAUUGGAGUGAGUCAACAUGAUCAACAUAAUCGUUCAUCUAAUGGAGUUGAAUCAAAUGAGCUGUAUCAAACUAAUCGUUCAUCUAGUUUUAAUUUAUCAAACAUAUGCUCAAAAUUACAAUGAGUUAAUCAACUAUACUCAAACUGAANN
Molecule: long non-coding RNA, 1125 nt
Filed under: Capsella grandiflora
Lineage: Eukaryota; Viridiplantae; Streptophyta; Magnoliopsida; Brassicales; Brassicaceae
Description: long non-coding RNA (CGRA_LNC001584)
Source: RNAcentral